RNAcentral lists this ribosomal RNA (496 nucleotides) under uncultured bacterium. Its description in RNAcentral is "partial 16S ribosomal RNA". It matches the Rfam family "Bacterial small subunit ribosomal RNA", at positions 30 to 523 of the family's 1533-position model. The record is from RNAcentral.
AUUGAACGCUGGCGGAAUGCUUUACACAUGCAAGUCGAACGGUAGAGGGGGCAACCCCUCGAGAGUGGCGAACGGGUGAGUAAUAUAUCGGAACGUGCCCAGUCGUGGGGGAUAACGUAGCGAAAGUUACGCUAAUACCGCAUACGAUCUAAGGAUGAAAGCGGGGGAUCGCAAGACCUCGCUCGAUUGGAGCGGCCGAUAUCAGAGUAGGUAGUUGGUGGGGUAAAGGCUCACCAAGCCAACGAUCUGUAGCUGGUCUGAGAGGACGACCAGCCACACUGGAACUGAGACACGGUCCAGACUCCUACGGGAGGCAGCAGUGGGGAAUUUUGGACAAUGGACGCAAGUCUGAUCCAGCCAUUCCGCGUGCAGAAUGAAGGCCCUCGGGUUGUAAACUGCUUUCGUACGGAACGAAAAGGUCUCUCUUAAUACGGGGGACUCAUGACGGUACCGUAAGAAUAAGCACCGGCUAACUACGUGCCAGCAGCCGCGGUAA